GACGAACGCUGGCGGCGUGCCUAACACAUGCAAGUCGAACGGACGAGAUUACUUCGGUAAUUGAGUUAGUGGCGAACGGGUGAGUAACACGUAGAUAAUCUGUCCUACAUUGGGGGAUAGCCCAACGAAAGUUGGAUUAAUACCGCAUACAGCUUAUUUAUCGCAUGGUAGGUAAGUGAAAGAUUUAUUGAUGUAGGGGGAGUCUGCGGCACAUUAGCUAGUAGGUGAGGUAAGAGCUCACCUAGGCAACGAUGUGUAGCCGGUCUGAGAGGAUGAACGGCCACAAUGGAACUGAGAUACGGUCCAUACUCCUACGGGAGGCAGCAGUGGGGAAUAUUGCACAAUGGGGGAAACCCUGAUGCAGCAACGCCGCGUGAGUGAAGACGGUUUUCGGAUUGUAAAGCUCUGUGAGCAGGGAAGAGAUAGGACAGUACCUGCAGAGGAAGUCACGGCUAACUACGUGCCAGCAGCCGCGGUAAUACGUAGGUGGCAAGCGUUGUUCGGAAUAACUGGGCGUAAAGGAUGCGUAGGCGGUUUGAUAAGUUAUAUGUUAAAUACACAGGCUUAACCUGUGGAAAGCAUAUAAAACUGUCAGACUAGAGUGCAGGAGAGGUAAGUGGAAUUCCUAGUGUAGCGGUGAAAUGCGUAGAGAUUAGGAAGAACACCAGUGGCGAAGGCGACUUACUGGACUGUAACUGACGCUGAGGCAUGAGAGCAUGGGGAGCAAACAGG
RNAcentral lists this ribosomal RNA (732 nucleotides) under uncultured bacterium. RNAcentral describes it as "bacterial SSU rRNA". It matches the Rfam family "Bacterial small subunit ribosomal RNA", at positions 28 to 776 of the family's 1533-position model. The record is from RNAcentral.